GAUGAACGCUGGCGGCGUGCCUAAUACAUGCAAGUCGAGCGAACAGACGAGGAGCUUGCUUCUCUGACGUUAGCGGCGGACGGGUGAGUAACACGUGGAUAACCUACCUAUAAGACUGGGAUAACUUCGGGAAACCGGAGCUAAUACCGGAUAAUAUUUUGAACCGCAUGGUUCAAUAGUGAAAGACGGUUUUGCUGUCACUUAUAGAUGGAUCCGCGCCGCAUUAGCUAGUUGGUAAGGUAACGGCUUACCAAGGCAACGAUGCGUAGCCGACCUGAGAGGGUAAUCGGCCACACUGAAACUGAGAACCGUUCCAGACUCCUACGGGAGGCACCAGUGGGGAAUCUUCCGCAUUGGGCGAAAGCCGGACGGAGCAACGCCGCGGGAGGGAUGAAGGUCUUCGGUUCGUAAACCUCUUUUAUAAGGAAAGACCAAUGUGGUAAGUAACGAUCAACGUCUGAACGUUACCUAAUCAGAAAGCAACGGCUAACUACGU
RNAcentral lists this ribosomal RNA (496 nucleotides) under uncultured bacterium. RNAcentral's name for it is "partial 16S ribosomal RNA". It matches the Rfam family "Bacterial small subunit ribosomal RNA", at positions 28 to 506 of the family's 1533-position model. The record is from RNAcentral.